Long non-coding RNA from Amblyraja radiata (thorny skate), 96 nucleotides. RefSeq lists it as uncharacterized. The transcript is spliced from 3 exons. Lineage: Eukaryota; Metazoa; Chordata; Chondrichthyes; Rajiformes; Rajidae. The record is from RefSeq and is a predicted model, not a curated record.
AUGAGAGGAAAAGACAGGGUAAAUAUACAGAGUGAGGGAAUCGAUAACCAGUGGACAUGGGUUUAAGGUGAAGGGGGAAGGAUUUUAUAGGAAUCU